CAGCUUGUUGGUGGGGUAAUGGCCUACCAAGGCUGCGAUCGGUAGCUGGUCUGAGAGGAUGAUCAGCCACAUUGGGACUGAGACACGGCCCAAACUCCUACGGGAGGCAGCAGUGGGGAAUAUUGGACAAUGGGCGCAAGCCUGAUCCAGCAAUGCCGCGUGGAUGAAGAAGGUUUUCGGAUUGUAAAGUCCUUUCGGCGGGGACGAUGAUGACGGUACCCGCAGAAGAAGCCCCGGCUAACUUCGUGCCAGCAGCCGCGGUAAUACGAAGGGGGCUAGCGUUGCUCGGAAUGACUGGGCGUAAAGGGCGCGUAGGCGGUUUGUUUAGUUAGACGUGAAAUUCCUGGGCUCAACCUGGGGACUGCGUUUAAUACAGGCAGACUUGAGUGUGGAAGAGGGUUGUGGAAUUCCCAGUGUAGAGGUGAAAUUCGUAGAUAUUGGGAAGAACACCGGUGGCGAAGGCGGCAACCUGGUCCAUUACUGACGCUGAGGCGCGAAAGCGUGGGGAGCAAACAGGAUUAGAUACCCUGGUAGUCCACGCCGUAAACGAUGUGUGCUGGAUGUUGGGUGACCUAGUCACUCAGUGUCGUAGCUAAC
Molecule: ribosomal RNA, 597 nt
Filed under: uncultured Alphaproteobacteria bacterium
Lineage: Bacteria; Pseudomonadati; Pseudomonadota; Alphaproteobacteria
Description: SSU rRNA
Rfam family: Bacterial small subunit ribosomal RNA
Source: RNAcentral